AGCGGCUCCCUCCCCUCCAAUGCCCUUCCCCGGCGGCGGCACCGCUCCCCCUCUGAAUCCCCCCUCCCCUGCGGCCCCUCUCCCUUCCCCGGCGGUGACCGGCGCGCGCGCCACGCAUGGCCGCGCCCGUGUCACACCCGGUUUUAAGGGAUAAAGCCAGGUGCAUCUCAUAUGUGCGCCAAGGAAGAACAACACAUAUAAUUACAGAGUGCAUAGAGAUAAAUGUAAUUAUUACAUAGCGGAAGUCUACAAAAUAAAUGAUAAAUAUAAAACGAACUAAAUCUUAUUUCCCUGGCACCACAAAGCUGACUGAGAGACGCCUCCUAGAUUAUGUCGUACUCCUCGUUGGGCGGCUCCUCUUGAACCACAUGUUCUUCUCCUGUGGGGUGUGUGAGACAGCAAGGGUGAGCUCACAUACGUUCAUAGCUCAACAAGUUGUGGGGAAUAAUGUGCAUGAAUUCACCAAAGCUGAGAGUUCAUGUGAAGUGUAAGGCUGAUCAACAAAAUAAAUGUUAAAGCUGAGCAUUACUUUUAUAAGUUGGUCAAAGUUUUAUUAGCAGUUACUAAGUGUAAGUAAAUACCAGUAAUAAUAAAUAAAAGUAAUAAUAAAAUAAUCUCAAUGCGAUGCAAAUGACAAAUUGAAUUUAAUUCCAUAAGUUAAUCAUGUGAGAGUCUGAGCUGCUCAUGACCGUGAGCACGGCUAAUAUACCAGCUUUACACUAUGCAGAGGUUGCGCAUCUUUACCCACAAGUCAU
RNAcentral lists this long non-coding RNA (755 nucleotides) under Zea mays. Its description in RNAcentral is "drought responsive lncRNA". Lineage: Eukaryota; Viridiplantae; Streptophyta; Magnoliopsida; Poales; Poaceae. The record is from RNAcentral.